This 253-nucleotide ribosomal RNA is filed under the name uncultured bacterium. RNAcentral describes it as "partial 16S ribosomal RNA". It matches the Rfam family "Bacterial small subunit ribosomal RNA", at positions 524 to 776 of the family's 1533-position model. The record is from RNAcentral.
UACGUAGGGGGCUAGCGUUGUCCGGAAUCAUUGGGCGUAAAGAGCGUGUAGGCGGCCCGGUAAGUCCGCUGUAAAAGUCAAAGGCUCAACCUUUGAAUGUCAGUGGAUACUGCCGGGCUAGAGUCCGGAAGAGGCGAGUGGAACUCCUGGUGUAGCGGUGGAAUGCGCAGAUAUCAGGAAGAACACCAACGGCGAAGGCAGCUCGCUGGGACGGUACUGACGCUGAGACGCGAAAGCGUGGGUAGCGAACAGG